ACCCACCCCUAGCUAUUACCAUAUUUCUUUGUGAAAUUUUGUUCACCAAAAAUCGAUAUCGUUCGUCUGUGAUUUGAAAAUUGGACAGUGCCACAUUUGCAUACGUCACAGGAACUAAAACAUGGUGUAAAGGUGACCACUUCUGGUGACACAUAACAUGGUGGCGAGGCUUCAGACUCGACGCGGAGAACCUGGGAUUUUUUACAGGGUUCGGAGGGACGACCACCAGACUUUCAUCCAUUACUGCAAACGUCCUUCCAGCGCAACCACGAGGGACAAUGUGGUGUGUCUUCGCAGACAGGGGGAAGCUUUUGAUGAUGUUGACAACAAGUACCACAUCAUUGUUGUUUCUAAGAAGAAACACUGGGAACACAAGGGACGAAUUCAGAAAUGAAUACUACUCUUCACCAAUGUUUUCUAUCUUAGUGUGCGUAAUUAUAAUCAGUAAACUUCGCACAUGUGUGAACAGUAAAAAAUAACUAUACUGCUCUUCUUAAGUGUAUGCUUCCUACAACUGUUAUUUGAUACAUUAUUGUAUAAUGAUAUUGCCAAAACCUCGUUCAUUUACAAGAAACAUAUGACGGUUCCGAAUACGGGUCUCAUAUAUAGUGAAUUGAAAUAAGUGCAUUAAAACAUCGAGCCAGCAACAGCCAAGUCUCAUCGUCUUU
Molecule: long non-coding RNA, 668 nt
Organism: Branchiostoma floridae (Florida lancelet)
Lineage: Eukaryota; Metazoa; Chordata; Leptocardii; Amphioxiformes; Branchiostomatidae
Exons: 3
Source: RefSeq, a predicted model, not a curated record